AUACAGAGGGUGCGAGCGUUAAUCGGAUUUACUGGGCGUAAAGCGUGCGUCGGCGGCUUUUUAAGUCGGAUGUGAAAUCCCUGAGCUUAACUUAGGAAUUGCAUUCGAUACUGGGAAGCUAGAGUAUGGGAGAGGAUGGUAGAAUUCCAGGUGUAGCGGUGAAAUGCGUAGAGAUCUGGAGGAAUACCGAUGGCGAAGGCAGCCAUCUGGCCUAAUACUGACGCUGAGGUACGAAAGCAUGGGGAGCAAACAGGAUUAGAAACCCUAGUAGUCC
This 274-nucleotide ribosomal RNA is filed under the name uncultured bacterium. RNAcentral's name for it is "partial 16S ribosomal RNA". It matches the Rfam family "Bacterial small subunit ribosomal RNA", at positions 523 to 796 of the family's 1533-position model. The record is from RNAcentral.